AGAGUUUGAUCCUGGCUCAGAACGAACGCUGGCGGCGUGCUUAACACAUGCAAGUCGCGUGCGCAGUUGCCGUAGCAAUACGGUGAUGGGCGCACGGCGCACGGGUGCGUAACACAUGGGCAAUCUGCCCUUUGAUGGGGAAUAACCCGCCGAAAGGCGGGCUAAUUCCGCAUAAGAUUCUUUGGACCUCGGUCUGAAGAUUGAAAGCAGCAAUGCGUCGAAGGAGGAGCCCGCGCCCGAUUAGCUAGUUGGUGAGGUAAUGGCUCACCAAGGCAAUGAUCGGUAGCUGGUCUGAGAGGAUGAUCAGCCACACUGGAACUGAGACACGGUCCAGACUCCUACGGGAGGCAGCAGUGGGGAAUCUUGCACAAUGGGCGAAAGCCUGAUGCAGCGACGCCGCGUGGGGGAUGAAGCAUUUCGGUGUGUAAACCCCUUUCGACUGGGAAGAAUGCCUCGCAAGAGGAGUGACGGUACCAGUAGAAGAAGCCCCGGCUAACUACGUGCCAGCAGCCGCGGUAAGACGUAGGGGGCCAGCGUUGUUCGGAAUUACUGGGUGUAAAGGGUUCGUAGGCGGUGCGGCAAGUUGGGAGUGAAAUCUCUGGGCUUAACCCAGAGGCUGCUUCCAAAACUGCUGUGCUCGAGUGUGAGAGAGGCUCGUGGAAUUGCAGGUGUAGCGGUGAAAUGCGUAGAUAUCUGCAGGAACACCCGUGGCGAAAGCGGCGAGCUGGAUCACUACUGACGCUGAGGAACGAAAGCUAGGGGAGCAAACAGGAUUAGAUACCCUAGUAGUCC
Molecule: ribosomal RNA, 792 nt
Filed under: uncultured bacterium
Lineage: Bacteria
Description: bacterial SSU rRNA
Rfam family: Bacterial small subunit ribosomal RNA
Source: RNAcentral